GAAUUUGCCCUGACAGACACAGAGCCUGGGGCUGGAGAUUUUCUGAGAUGCCUCAGGCUCCUUCCCACAAAUUUCGCAUCAGCUUGAGCUCAGUGGGAGUAGAAUCUGCCACCGACAAACUCCUAAGAUGGCUUUGUUCAUUCCCACCUUCAUCAUAAAUCAGGUUGGGGUGGAGAAGCAAUAUCCCUAAGGGAAAAAUAAAAGUCUCCAAGCUAGGACUUUCAGCCUGGGGCCUGACAUUGCACAGAAAAUGGCCACUGCAGUCUCACAGGAACGCAGCCAGUCAAUGGUUUUCCUGAAACAAACUCUCAUCAUCUGAGAGAACCUGCAUGCACCUCUGCUCCCUGCACCCCAGAGGGAACCAGCAGUGUGCCCUGGGAAAAGCUGGGGCCCCACAGGUCCCAGUCUCUGAACAGGGUCUCGUAUAAAGAAGCACCGUCCAGCAACUAUUGCAGCAUUCACUGGCAUCUCGAAGACAGUAUCAACGAGUAUCUACAUCACAACCCGUAACCUCGCUCCUCAAGUUCCCUGUCCUCCCCUCCCAACCCCUGUACCCACAGCUGAUCGUGAGCCUCACACCCACCCACCUCCAGCAGUGCCAGAUUCACUCCUUACUUCCCCACUCUCUUCAUAUGGAGAGUGACAGCUUCCCUAGGUCGUAGAAGAAAACAACAUGGACCACUUGCCAGCGUCUCUUUGAACAGAGAAGCUACUGCUGUCUAAGGAAAAUUGAGAAGCAAAGCAAAACAAAACAGUGCCUCACUGCCAUGGUUGAGUCGGAGGGAAAGAGUGCGAAUGCAGCCGGAAGACUUAGCACAGCGCCCCGCACACGCCGAACCGGAAGACAGCACAGCG
RNAcentral lists this long non-coding RNA (855 nucleotides) under Homo sapiens (human). RNAcentral's name for it is "HSALNT0269472". The record is from RNAcentral. Lineage: Eukaryota; Metazoa; Chordata; Mammalia; Primates; Hominidae.